AGACCCGAAACCCGGUGAUCUAGCCAUGGGCAGGUUGAAGGUUGGGUAACACUAACUGGAGGACCGAACCGACUAAUGUUGAAAAAUUAGCGGAUGACCUGUGGCUGGGGGUGAAAGGCCAAUCAAACCGGGAGAUAGCUGGUUCUCCCCGAAAGCUAUUUAGGUAGCGCCUCGUGAAUUCAUCUCCGGGGGUAGAGCACUGUUUCGGCUAGGGGGCCAUCCCGGCUUACCAACCCGAUGCAAACUGCGAAUACCGGAGAAUGUUAUCACGGGAGACACACGGCGGGUGCUAACGUCCGUCGUGAAGAGGGAAACAACCCAGACCGCCAGCUAAGGUCCCAAAGUCAUGGUUAAGUGGGAAACGAUGUGGGAAGGCCCAGACAGCCAGGAUGUUGGCUUAGAAGCAGCCAUCAUUUAAAGAAAGCGUAAUAGCUCACUGGUCGAGUCGGCCUGCGCGGAAGAUGUAACGGGGCUAAACCAUGCACCGAAGCUGCGGCAGCGACACUGUGUGUUGUUGGGUAGGGGAGCGUUCUGUAAGCCUGUGAAGGUGGCCUGUGAGGGUUGCUGGAGGUAUCAGAAGUGCGAAUGCUGACAUAAGUAACGAUAAAGCGGGUGAAAAGCCCGCUCGCCGGAAGACCAAGGGUUCCUGUCCAACGUUAAUCGGGGCAGGGUGAGUCGACCCCUAAGGCGAGGCCGAAAGGCGUAGUCGAUGGGAAACGGGUUAAUAUUCCCGUACUUGGUGUUACUGCGAAGGGGGGACGGAGAAGGCUAUGUUGGCCGGGCGACGGUUGUCCCGGUUUAAGCGUGUAGGUGUGUGUUCCAGGUAAAUCCGGUUCACUUUAACACUGAGGCGUGACGACGAGGCACUACGGUGCUGAAGCAACAAAUGCCCUGCUUCCAGGAAAAGCCUCUAAGCAUCAGGUAACAUCAAAUCGUACCCCAAACCGACACAGGUGGUCAGGUAGAGAAUACCAAGGCGCUUGAGAGAACUCGGGUGAAGGAACUAGGCAAAAUGGUGCCGUAACUUCGGGAGAAGGCACGCUGACACGUAGGUGAAGUGAUUUACUCACGGAGCUGAAGUCAGUCGAAGAUACCAGCUGGCUGCAACUGUUUAUUAAAAACACAGCACUGUGCAAACACGAAAGUGGACGUAUACGGUGUGACGCCUGCCCGGUGCCGGAAGGUUAAUUGAUGGGGUCAGCGCAAGCGAAGCUCCUGAUCGAAGCCCCGGUAAACGGCGGCCGUAACUAUAACGGUCCUAAGGUAGCGAAAUUCCUUGUCGGGUAAGUUCCGACCUGCACGAAUGGCGUAAUGAUGGCCAGGCUGUCUCCACCCGAGACUCAGUGAAAUUGAACUCGCUGUGAAGAUGCAGUGUACCCGCGGCAAGACGGAAAGACCCCGUGAACCUUUACUAUAGCUUGACACUGAACAUUGAGCCUUGAUGUGUAG
Molecule: ribosomal RNA, 1449 nt
Filed under: Salmonella enterica subsp. enterica serovar Fresno
Lineage: Bacteria; Pseudomonadati; Pseudomonadota; Gammaproteobacteria; Enterobacterales; Enterobacteriaceae
Description: partial 23S ribosomal RNA
Rfam family: Bacterial large subunit ribosomal RNA
Source: RNAcentral